Molecule: long non-coding RNA, 1473 nt
Organism: Choloepus didactylus (southern two-toed sloth)
Lineage: Eukaryota; Metazoa; Chordata; Mammalia; Pilosa; Megalonychidae
Exons: 2
Source: RefSeq, a predicted model, not a curated record
CCAAACCAGCACACACCUCUAGAGGAGAUUGCACACAGAUUUUUGGAUUUGCUUCCCUGAGAUUCCCUCCUUUCCUGGAUUUGGCCCUUCAAAUCCUGGCUGCUUUGACAGCUCUUGAUUCUAACCUCUCUCUCCUAAAUCUGAUAAGACUGCAUCUUUCCUGCUAGUGCUCUCUUCCAGUGUACUGUGAGUUAGCAAGAACCCUCCAGGAAGAAGCCUGGGAGAAACGAGCUCACCUCGUUGUGCUCUCCUUCACUCAGGGAUCAUAGCAUCUUAAGAUGAAAUCCCUUUGAAAGCGAAGACCAUUUCCAUGACACCAGAGCAAAAAGUCAAGAUGAAAUGAGUAACGAUGAAGACCGGAACCUGCCUUAUGUCGAAGACAUGCUCGUCACGCUUGUCUUUGGCACAAUUCCUUGAUGAUGUGCUCCAUGCCUGCCAGUAGGGGCUGACGCCCAGAGACCAAAAGACAGGAUACAUGGUGCUUACAGCAGACAUGGAAAGAUUCACAGGGCAGGAAGGGAUUUUCCCUUCUUUUCUCUUCUUUGGUGAGAAGGGAGACUUUAGAAUGUAGAAUACGGAAGCAGUGACUUUGUUGGCAUACUACGCAUUGAAGUUAUGCUCUGAGAGGAAGACAAUAUCAUCAGGAGAAAGGCUUGCUUGCAUUUUAGAUAUACCAUUCUGAAGAGAAUAGAGCACCUGGUAAGACUUUACAGCCACCCUUUCUUCAUGAUGCAGCACCCACGGUCACCAUGACUUUGAGACCCCUAAGGAACCCAGCCAGGGUGGAGCUGAAGAAGUGGGAUGAGAAACAGAAAAGAUGGAGGCAGAUAAAGGUGACGGGAGAAGAAAGAGGAAGAUGGAGAGUAGACUCGGCCUGCACGUUCUUCCAGGCUCUGUGGAGGCUAAAUAUACAUUAGCACUGAGGAGCUAAAUCUGUAUUAUCCUUUGCAGUUAUGUCCACAGGCGUGCCUUUUAACUGAUGUGAAGGUCAACUGAUCCCUGUUGGGGACACCAUGGACUCCUGUUAAGCGGCGUCACCUACCCCACUGCCUUCUCUGGGCAAGUCACAAACAACACCAAGGGCCACCCUCUGGCCUUCUGCUUCCCACCUCCUUUCUACUGUGCACUGCUCCACAACCUGGAGGAAAUGUUAAGUCCAAUGAAACGCCUGGUCAGACCUUAAACCCGGAAACCAGAACAAGCAGCCCCAGAUGCUUAUCAGAACAGGAACUCCUGGUGGGUAAAAACCACCUGCAAACAGUAUAGAUUUUCUCUUUUCUGACAUGAAUUGGGGCGUGUGGAGCUGCCAUCUUAGACCCUGAUCCAGAGCAGUUUUGGCCACCCUGGGAGACGGGCCACGAUGGAACAUCUUCCUCUGCUCUUUUGAAGUCUUUGUGCUGUGUAAGUGACAAAGAGAUUAUUUGCCCUUUCUGGACUUUUUAUUCUGUGCAAUAAAAAGGUCCUUUGCUAAAA